Anopheles funestus (African malaria mosquito) is the source of this 2083-nucleotide long non-coding RNA. RefSeq lists it as uncharacterized. NCBI's taxonomy places the organism in Eukaryota, Metazoa, Arthropoda, Insecta, Diptera, Culicidae. The record is from RefSeq and is a predicted model, not a curated record. The transcript is spliced from 4 exons.
AUGUGUCUUGGCUAAGGUGUCUUGGCUAAGGUGUCUUGGCUAAUGUGUCUCGGCUAAUGUGUCUUGGCUAAGGUGUCUUGGCUAAGGUGUCUUGGCUUAUGUGUCUUGGCUAAUGUGUCUUGGCUAAGGUGUCUUGGCUAAGGUGUCUUGGCUAAUGUGUCUUGGCUAAAGUGUCUUGGCUAUUGUGUCUUGGCUAAGGUGUCUUGGCUAAGGUGUCUUGGCUAAGGUGUCUUGGCUAAUGUGUCUUUGCUAAUGUGUCUUGGCUAAGGUGUCUUGGCUAAGGUGUCUUGGCUAAGGUGUCUUGGCUAAGGUGUCUUGGCUUAUGUGUCUUGGCUAAUGUGUUUUGGCUAAGGUGUCUUGGCUAAUGUGUCUUGGCUAAGGUGUCUUGGCUAAGGUGUCUUGGCUAAUGUGUCUCGGCUAAGGUGUCUUGGCUAAUGUGUCUCGGCUAAGGUGUCUUGGCUAAUGUGUCUUGGCUAAAGUGUCUUGGCUAAGGUGUCUUGGCUAAGGUGUCUUGGCUAAUGUGUCUCGGCUAAGGUGUCUUGGCUAAGGUGUCUUGGCUAAUGUGUCUUGGCUAAGGUGUCUUGGCUAAGGUGUCUUGGCUAAAGUGUCUUGGCUGAGGUGUCUUGGCUAAGGUGUCUUGGCUAAGGUGUCUUGGCUAAGGUGUCUUGGCUAUUGUGUCUCGGCUAAGGUGUCUUGGCUAAGGUGUCUUGGCUAAUGUGUCUCGGCUAAGGUGUCUUGGAUAAGUUGUCUUGGCUAAGGUGUCUUGGCUAAGGUGUCUUGGCUAAUGUGUCUCGGCUAAGGUGUCUUGGCUAAGGUGUCUUGGCUAAGGUGUCUUGGCUAAUGUGUCUUGGCUAAUGUGUCUCGGCUAAUGUGUCUUGGCUAAGGUGUCUUGGCUAAGGUGUCUUGGCUAAUGUGUCUUGGCUAAUGUGUCUUGGCUAAGGUGUCUUGGCUAAUGUGUCUCGGCUAAGGUGUCUUGGCUAAUGUGUCUUGGCUAAAGUGUCUUGGCUAAGGUGUCUUGGCUAAGGUGUCUUGGCUAUUGUGUCUCGGCUAAGGUGUCUUGGCUAAAGUGUCUUGGCUAAGGUGUCUUGGCUAAGGUGUCUUGGCUAAGGUGUCUUGGCUAAGGUGUCUUGGCUAAUGUGUCUUGGCUAAGGUGUCUUGGCUAAGGUGUCUUGGCUAAGGUGUCUUGGCUAAUGUGUCUUGGCUAAGGUGUCUCGGCUAAGGUGUCUCGGCUAAGGUGUCUUGGCUAAUGUGUCUCGGCUAAUGUGUCUUGGCUAAUGUGUCUUGGCUAAGGUGUCUUGGCUAAGGUGUCUUGGCUGAUGUGUCUCGGCUAAGGUGUCUUGGCUAAUGCGUCUUGGCUAAGGUGUCUUGGCUAAGGUGUCUUGGCUAAGGUGUCUUGGCUAAUGUGUCUUAGCUAAGGUGUCUUGGCUAAGGUGUCUUGGCUAAAGUGUCUUGACUAUGGUGUCUUGGCUAAGGUGUCUUGGCUAAUGUGUCUUGGCUAAGGUGUCUUGGCUAAGGUGUCUUGGCUAAUGUGUCUCGGCUAAGGUGUCUUGGCUAAAGUGUCUUGGCUAAUGUGUCUCGGCUAAGGUGUCUUGGCUAUUGUGUCUCGGCUAAGGUGUCUUGGCUAUUGUGUCUUGGCUAAGGUGUCUUGGCUAAGGUGUCUUGGCUAAGGUGUCUUGGCUAAGGUGUCUUGGCUAAUGUGUCUUGGCUAAGGUGUCUUGGCUAAGGUGUGUUGGCUAGUGUGCCUUGGCUAAAGUGUCUUGGCUAAGGUGUCUUGGCUAAGGUGUCUUGGCUAAGGUGUCUUGGCCAAGGUGUCUUGGCUAAUGUGUCUUGGCUAAUGUGUCUUGGCUUAUGUGUCUUGGCUAAGGUGUCUUGGCUAAGGUGUCUUGGCUAAUGUGUCUUGGCUAAUGUGUCUCGGCUAAUGUGUCUUGGCUAAGGUGUCUUGGCUAAUGUGUCUUGGCUAAGGUGUCUUGGCUAUUGUGUCUUGGCUAAGGUGUCUUGGCUAAGGUGUCUUGGCUAAGGUGUCUUGGCUAAUGUGUCUAGGCUAAUGUGUCUUGGCUAAUGUGUCUUGGCUAGUGUGUCUUGG